AACAAAUAUUUUUUGUGAGAUCGAUAAUAAAGCUGUACAAAUUUCGUCGCAUUCUAUUAUCCCACGUAUUGUGCAUCUUUAUUUGUCAUUCUGUGAAGAAGAGACCAAAGGUAGGAUGACUAAUAAUACUUGCUGUUUUUCAAAUAGAUACUUACUUUGCAUCUACCCACGCGAUAUGAAAAUGAAACCACGCAAUGUGAUUAUACAAGUUGUACAGAUUUCAUAAAAACAUGGAAAUCGACGAACGGGUAGGAGAUAUAACGCGAAGUGUUCUGAAUGAAACUGAUUGUUAAAAUGGUGCUCAACGUUAUCUAAUCGAAUGGCAGUAAUUUUUCGACCGAAGAGAAGUGAUCUUUUGACUUUAACGUGCCUUCGUGUUACGAGGCGCGGCUUGUCCUUGCGAAUAAGAUAUCUACUAGUGUGCAGUCACAUACUGAAGUGCACAACUUGUUGCACCAACCAAUGUGCUUCAUAAGCAGCCUACACGCCGCACGCCAUAGGAAUUCACGGUCCCUACGAUACUGCGACCGACGUAAUACCCGGUAUUACGUAAUUCAUUUUCCUUAUUUGUGAUCAAAUGAAAAUUCGUGUUCCUCGAGUAAUAAUAAAAUGCGAUUUUUAACGAUCGAACGAACACCUCUAACUCAAAUCUCUUUCUAAACCAUUAGUUUCUCACCGUUCUCUAAGAACGUUUUAUGCGAUUUUAACUUAUGUGUACAAAAUAUAUCAUUCACCAAAUAGAGCAAGAAACGCUUAUCUAUACGCCGUUAGUAUCGACUGCAGUAAUUGCAUGCACACAUACACGUUAAGGCCUUCAAACAGUGUGGCCUUUUCGCGCGUUUUCUUCUCACGCUUCGUCGAAGAGGAUUAUUGAACGCAUGAGUAUCACCCUGACCGAAAUUAACCCUUCGAAUGAAACUAUCCGUCCUCAUUCGUUUCCACCGUUGCGAGAUACGAGGGGGAAUACAUGAGGACCGGUGUCUUUUUACUUACACUGCGUUUCAAAACGGGGCAAACGCACGAGACAGAAUCGAUAUAACGAUGGUCGAUUUAUUAUUAAUAUUUUCCAUUAUUCACGAAUUUCCACAUGCAUUGCAGAGAACGAAUGUUUUUAUCAAAGUUGCCAGUUGCCAUCGGUGGCCAUGAAAAACACUAGAUUCAUUCUACUCGUAGUUAAUGUACAUAUGUAAGGUAAGAUUAAACCUACAUAGCUAUGUACAAUAUAGUACAUGUAUACGAGAAUAAAUAUGACGCACAUGAAUGACACGAUACACAACAUACGUGUUGUACUAGAUAUUACAUAGAUUAUCGUACCAUUUAGCCUGCAUGUAAUUUCGUAUCAACAAGUACUUCUUGCUGAUUAUUGAAUUUCAAAUUACGGAGAAAAGAAUUUACGCAGCAAAUACUAGUGGAAUAAACAAAUCUAAUUAAAUUGAGAAGAUAAGGCUGAUAAGAGGAAAAUUUAUCUAGCCAUUCGUAGAGUGGCACUCAUUGGCUGGCUUUAAGAAAAUGAAACGAGUCACGCGACGCUUCAAAUGGAUUUUUGUUAGCGCCGGUUUAGUCGACGGAGAAACGAAAAAUAUUGGAAAAAAGUCAAGGACAGCUUGAAUUCUUAAUGAAUGGAUACCGUUGGGCACGGCCUCGACGUAUGGCAGUAGGAUGGAACUUUGAGUAUGUGGGACGCCACGUAUGGUCCCGGUCAUCGGGAUGAACAUGUAUGGUCAUCGAACGUGUGUCUAGUUCGUAGGGACGUGUGUUGAGCGCAUCGGAAACUAUGCCACCGAACUGGGAAUGGUUCCAAGUCUUUAAUCAAUUAUAAUUAUCGUACGAAAAUCUGUCUUUGUCAUACUUUAAAUAUCAGAGGAAUAUUUGUUCACAUGACAAGAAUCGUGUGCUUUUCAUAAUCCCUCUAAUCUCGAUGUUCAGAAUUUGAACUUUGGUAGCCAGUAUGGAGUGCAUCUUAAAAACCUGUAGAACGUUGAUAGUCUUCAUAAUAAUUAAUUAUAAUGUGUUUUGCGUAGCGCAUAAAUGCAUUUCUUUUAUAUUGGCAGAUAGAAUUCGAGGACAGCAAAAGUCUCGUGAAAUAAUAGCGUGAUGUAUUUAAUUUCUAUCCACUGGUAAUUCAAUCGGACUGUUGCAAAGUCACCAUUGAGAUUUAUCACGCAUGCAUUUUUUUACUUCUUCACGGUGAAAGAUGCUACUAAUCGAAGGCUAACCACUUCACAAAAUCCCAACAAAAUCUAUUAUUGAUGCUAAUUAAAUAAAUGACGUUGAAUUGACCGUCAGCAUUUGUAAUCUAGGCACAAGUAAAAUGCGAUUAUUUUAUAAAUCAAGGUAUUAUCGUUGCGAAUGUAGGAUACAAAUUAUAUCGUUUCUGAAAAAAGUCCCUGAUUUUAAAAAAUCACAUUCACGAAUAUUUCACCUAUUAUUAUUAAUCGAAAGUUCUCUUAAUUUACAAACUAUGAACACAUAUGAACGGGCGUGUCUCUAAAUGUUUGAGCCAAAGAGAAACGAUGCUUACCGACGUUGAUCGCUUAACGGUACCGUCGAUUUCAACAGGGAAUAUUACGGAGAAAGCAAAAAAAUCUUUUUGACACGUAAUGGUGUUAACAACCUUAACACUACGAUUUUUUACAAUAACCAUCCUUUUCGUUCUAUAGGAACAGCUUGUUGAUCGCUCCUUAAGAUUACUAUUACGUAGUUACGCUGUUGAAGGUUCAACGUCACGGUGUAAAUAUAAUCGCAAAAAGAAGAGCCUCUUUUAGCUACCAGAUAGAAAAUUGCCCAACGCUCCAAAACGUGCGCGUUUAAAAUAACAAUGCCGCGUAAAAGAUCGUAGCGCCAAAAACAAUGAUGAAUGCCUGCCAAAAUCCGAUGAGAUUAACGACAUCGCAAAAAAUAAAGCUUACUACCUAGUUUUAUUGUUAGUCAGAGUCGUUUCUGCUUCGUUGCUCUGCGUAUGUAAGUAUAAUAUCCUUGAAGUAAUGGAAGCAACGCGCGUAUGAGAUUUACAUGAGAUUCUAUUUCUAUCGAAAUGUAUUUUGAGAAUGAUUACAUAAUACUAAAUCCGUUGCUUUCCUCGAAAAAUAAAUGACUGAUUUCCAGACAUCGAAUCACUACUUCUUAUAAUCAUCGAAACGGUCACAAUCAUCACUACAUGUCAUAAUUUUAUUGAAAUAACAAUAAUUUUAUAUAGCAACUGAAAGAAUAGUUGGAAGACAGCAAUCGAUGCGUCGCACUUACCAGUUGUAAAAGUUUAAU
Long non-coding RNA from Ceratina calcarata, 3261 nucleotides. RefSeq lists it as uncharacterized. The record is from RefSeq and is a predicted model, not a curated record. The transcript is spliced from 3 exons. NCBI's taxonomy places the organism in Eukaryota, Metazoa, Arthropoda, Insecta, Hymenoptera, Apidae.